AUAUAGAAGAAAAAAAACACUUUACUGAAAACGGUUUAUUAGAAAUAAUAGAAAUAAAGUCUGGAAUGAAUAAAGGUAGAAAAAAUAAAUAAUAAAUUUAUAAAAUGUAUGAAUAAUUUGAUGAUCGUGGGUGCCAGAAGACUCGGUAAGGCCAGAGACGCAAACGUUAGUCGUCAUAAACAGGCGUAAAGGGUUCGUAGGCAUCUUUUUAAAGCAAUUUAAAGAUAGAAUCUAAUGGAGUUUGAACCGCUAAAUGCUUUAAGUAGGGAUGAAAUAUUUAGAGAUACGGUAGAAUGCUCAAGGCGUAAGCAGCUUCUCAUGUAAAGAUUGACGCUGAGGAACUAAGGAGAGCCACAGGAAAAAGGAUUAGAUACCCAAGUACCCUCUCUGCCAACGAUGAAUGGUACUCAUUAGCAAACGGUUAGUGGGAAAGUUAACACGUGAACCAUUCCGCCUUGUGAGUACGGUCGCAAAGUCUGAAAACAAAAAAAUUAGUCGGUCUUGAAGCAAACGAAGUGAAGCAUGUUAUUUAAUACGAUAGUCCGCGUAAAAUCUUACCAGUGUCUUGAAUAUUUUAAAAAAAAGGUUUUUAAACGUAAAAAUAAAAUUCUUUGUUUUUUCAGGUUCGUGAAAUACGAUAAAAUUUGUCCCGCAAAAUAAAUUAUUCUUCUAUUUGCUGCGUACGCCUUGCUGUGUACGUCUGAUAAAUAAAAGUCGGUAUAAAUUUUUUACCAACUUGUCUUAACUUAAGUUAACUCCUUAGGUUAAGGGAAGGAAAAAUACAAAACACUUUUAAAAUUAAAAUAAAAAAAAGUAAAUUACAGUACUAAUUUUUAUUUUAUGCGCUUCCUUAAUUUUAGAUUAGGGAUAAAAAGUGCGGAAGUGUAGUGAGAACAUGCAAUAAAUAAACUCUUAAAAAAAAUCUUAACAGUAAAAAACUUUUGUCUUGUUCUAUGCCUUUUACCUCUAAAGUUUAAUUUAAACUCAAAGGUUUAAGGUAAGAAUUUUAUUUUUAAUAACCACCGCUAAAUUUAUUUAGAAAAUUUGUUCUGCUCUUAUAAAAUUAGUAGCACAAUUUUCUGUUCUAAUACUUUCUGUUUUAGUCGCGUACGCGCCACCUAAAUAAGAUUGUAUUAGAAUAAGUUAUUUUUUUGCCCUUUGGGCCUUGUAGAGAUAAAUGUCACUUCGUGUUAAAAUAACUAUAAUUUAGAGUUUCGUAAUUAAUAAUAUUUUAUUAAUUAUAAAUAACGCCAUAUCGGACGAUGGAAACGGUAAGUUUGAUUACCAAAUAUAAGAUAAAGAUCCCUAAAAAUUAUCUUUUUUUUUUUACAGCUUAAGAAUUAAUCUAAGCUAUAAAAAACUAAUUUAUUAAUUUUUUUAAUCUUUUUAAUUGUUAUAUUAUUAAAAAUACAGGUGUUGCAUGGCUGUCGUCAGUCCGUCUUGUGAGAAGUAAGGUUAACUCCUAGAUUUUAACGGACGCAAUCCCUUCAGCUAAUUUAUACUUAGCUAUUACCUAAGUUAGUGGAUAACAUAGGAUCCACUUGGGGCGAAGACAAGCCGUUAUGGCCCUUAUGACCUUGGGCUAUAGACGUGCCACGUGGGCUUUAGCAAUGUGAAGCAAAAUCGAAAGAAAGAGCUAAUCACAAAAAAGAAGUCGUAUUACAGAUUGUACCCUGAAAUUCGGGUCCAUGAAGAAGGAAUUUCGAGUAAUCGUUGAUAAGUAGACGCAACGGUGAAGCAUUAAUUCUUGAUGAACUAACUGUCUGUCGCUGGGAAGGAAUUUAAACUGUUGGAAACGGUGAGUAUUUUUAAACUUUAAAAUAUUAUAAGCUUAAAUUUUAAGCAAAGUUUAUUUUAUAAACAUCUUAUUUUAAGAAAAGUAUUUGUCGUUAAGGCAUUUAAGUAACAUCUCAAAAGUCAUAGCAAGGUAGCCGUACUGGAAAGUGCUGCUGGAAAAUAAAACUU
Molecule: ribosomal RNA, 1965 nt
Filed under: Auricularia heimuer
Lineage: Eukaryota; Fungi; Basidiomycota; Agaricomycetes; Auriculariales; Auriculariaceae
Description: 12S ribosomal RNA
Rfam family: Bacterial small subunit ribosomal RNA
Source: RNAcentral